RNAcentral lists this ribosomal RNA (497 nucleotides) under uncultured bacterium. Its description in RNAcentral is "partial 16S ribosomal RNA". It matches the Rfam family "Bacterial small subunit ribosomal RNA", at positions 28 to 508 of the family's 1533-position model. The record is from RNAcentral.
GAUGAACGCUGGCGGCGUGCCUAAUACAUGCAAGUCGAGCGAACAGACGAGGAGCUUGCUCCUCUGACGUUAGCGGCGGACGGGUGAGUAACACGUGGAUAACCUACCUAUAAGACUGGGAUAACUUCGGGAAACCGGAGCUAAUACCGGAUAACAUGUUGAACCGCAUGGUUCAACAGUGAAAGACGGUCUUGCUGUCACUUAUAGAUGGAUCCGCGCCGCAUUAGCUAGUUGGUAAGGUAACGGCUUACCAAGGCAACGAUGCGUAGCCGACCUGAGAGGGGAGUGGCCAACAUGGGAGUGGAGACAGGGCCAACCCCACUAGGGGGGGAGCAAGAGGGGAAUCUCCCGAAGGGGCGGAAGCCGGGAGGGGCAAGCGCGGGGGGAGGAAAAAGGGUGUCGGGAUCGAAAAACUGUUUUAUUGGGAAAAAAAAAAUGGGAAAGAAAUAAUCCCCGUCUUGAGGGUCCCUAAACAGAAGCCCCGGCCAAACUCGGGC